Molecule: unclassified non-coding RNA, 402 nt
Filed under: soil metagenome
Description: partial contains 5.8S ribosomal RNA, internal transcribed spacer 2, and large subunit ribosomal RNA
Rfam family: 5.8S ribosomal RNA (bases 1-121)
Source: RNAcentral
GAUGAAGAACGCAGCGAAAUGCGAUAAGUAAUGUGAAUUGCAGAAUUCAGUGAAUCAUCGAAUCUUUGAACGCACCUUGCACCCUUUGGCUAUUCCGAAGGGUAUGCCUGUUUGAGUAUCAUGAACACCUCAACUCUCAUGGUUUGCCAUGAUGAGCUUGGACUUUGGGGGUCUUGCUGGCCUGUGGUCAGCUCCUCUCAAAUGGAUUAGCUUGCCAGUGUUUGGUGGCAUCACAGGUGUGAUAACUAUCUACGCUUGUGGUUUUCCACCAGGUAACCUUCAGCAAUGGGGGUUCGCUGGGGCUCAUAUAUGUCUCUCCUCAGUGAGGACAGCUCUUUGAACGUUUGAUCUCAAAUCAGGUAGGACUACCCGCUGAACUUAAGCAUAUCAAUAAGCGGAGGA